RNAcentral lists this ribosomal RNA (480 nucleotides) under uncultured Anaeromusa sp. RNAcentral describes it as "partial 16S ribosomal RNA". It matches the Rfam family "Bacterial small subunit ribosomal RNA", at positions 1 to 446 of the family's 1533-position model. Lineage: Bacteria; Bacillati; Bacillota; Negativicutes; Selenomonadales; Sporomusaceae. The record is from RNAcentral.
GCUUAACACCGAGAACAUACUGCUUAAAGGCAGAGCGGUGGCGAAGUGAAACGAGCCAUCACGCAUACAUAAAGUGAUUAUCAAGCAAAAUGUUUUGGGUGUUGAGCUUUGGAUAGUGGCGAACGGGUGAGUAACGCGUAGGCAAUCUGCCUUCUAGAUGGGGACAACAUCCCGAAAGGGGUGCUAAUACCGAAUGUUGUACCGUUUCCGCAUGGAGAUGAUACUAAAGGUGGCCUCUGAAUAUGCUACCGCUAGAAGAUGAGCCUGCGUCUGAUUAGCUAGUUGGAGGGGUAACGGCCCACCAAGGCUUCGAUCAGUAGCCGGUCUGAGAGGAUGAACGGCCACACUGGGACUGAGACACGGCCCAGACUCCUACGGGAGGCAGCAGUGGGGAAUCUUCCGCAAUGGACGAAAGUCUGACGGAGCAACGCCGCGUGAGUGAAGAAGGUUUUCGGAUCGUAAAGCUCUUUCGUUAGGGAC